RNAcentral lists this ribosomal RNA (468 nucleotides) under uncultured bacterium. RNAcentral describes it as "partial 16S ribosomal RNA". It matches the Rfam family "Bacterial small subunit ribosomal RNA", at positions 28 to 507 of the family's 1533-position model. The record is from RNAcentral.
GACGAACGCUGGCGGCGUGCUUAACACAUGCAAGUCGAACGGAAAGGCCCUGCUCUUGUGGGGUGCUCGAGUGGCGAACGGGUGAGUAACACGUGAGUAACCUGCCCUUGACUUUGGGAUAACUUCAGGAAACUGGGGCGAAUAUCGGAUAGGAUCUCCUGCUGCAUGUGGGGGGAUGGAGAGUUUCGGCUGUUGGGGAUGGAUUCGCUGCUUAUCGGCUGCUUUGUGUGGUAGUGGCGGUCCAAGGCUUUGACGGGUAGCCGGCCUGAGAGGGUAACCGGCCACAUUGGGACUGAGGUACGGCCCAGACUGCUACGGGAGGCAGCAGUGGGGAAUCUUACACAAUGGGCGGAAGCCUGAGGCAGAAACGCCGGGUGCGGGAUGCCGGCCUUCGGGGUAUAAACCGCUUUCGCCUGUGACGAAGCGGGAGUGACGGUAAUGGGUAAAGAAGCACCGGCUAACUACGUG